CAAAGCGUUUGAAUUCUGAAAC
RNAcentral lists this microRNA (22 nucleotides) under Blattella germanica (German cockroach). RNAcentral describes it as "Bge-Mir-927-P1_3p* (star (passenger))". Lineage: Eukaryota; Metazoa; Arthropoda; Insecta; Blattodea; Blattellidae. The record is from RNAcentral.